AUAUAAUUGAACUAUAUAUCAGUGAUGUGAAUAACUUACAGCUAUGCCUAGAAGGAGAGCCCUUUUAUAGAAUGAUAACAUGGUUUUGUUUGUUUUACAAAGUUGAAUUGCAUUUUGACUUUUUUUUUGCAGCACUGUAAAACAGUAGUUGUGUAAUAUAUUUAUAUAAAUUUCUUGCUUUUUCCUCCUAGCAAAUGGAGCCCAAUCUUAGUCAUUUAGAUUUAGUCCACAAUCUUAUUGUUUGUUUUCUUAAUGGUUUGUAGGCAGACUUGUUGGGAUGCCCA
RNAcentral lists this unclassified non-coding RNA (284 nucleotides) under Hevea brasiliensis (rubber tree). Lineage: Eukaryota; Viridiplantae; Streptophyta; Magnoliopsida; Malpighiales; Euphorbiaceae. The record is from RNAcentral.